RNAcentral lists this long non-coding RNA (6906 nucleotides) under Homo sapiens (human). RNAcentral's name for it is "long independently transcribed non-coding RNA 2700, transcript variant 4 (LINC02700)". Lineage: Eukaryota; Metazoa; Chordata; Mammalia; Primates; Hominidae. The record is from RNAcentral.
GUGAGACUGUGAAUUCUUCAAAAGCAGGUACUGUGUUUAAUGAAGUGUGCCCAGGACUUUGCUCAGUGACUGGAUGACACAGUAGGAGUAACAAGAAAGUUCACAUGGGUGAACCGUGAAGCAUUUUCUAAAACAAGGUGCAGCAAUCAGUUGAGUGAAUUUGUCACCAGAGCUUAUGUUUUCUGAAAGAACCCUAUCCUCAGGCAGUUGUUCCUAAGAGGACCCCACUGGAAAUCGGACUGUUCAACUCACCUGGCAGCCACUCACAGAGCCCGUGGAACUCUGGCCCAAGGCUCUCUGACUCCUUCUCGGCUUAGCGGCUAAAGACUGACACUGCCCGAUCGCCUCGGAAGCCCCGUAGACCAUCACGGACGCCGAGCUUUAGAUGAAGAAACUGAGGUCCAGAGAAGUUAAACGACCUUCCUAAGAUUACACAGCUUAGUAAGUGGCAGAACCACAGCUGGAAGCCAGGUCCUUCCUCACGCAAGUCCUGGCUCAUUCAUUCCUCUUCCAAAGACUUGCUGAGCACCUUCUAGGUGCCAGAUGCGGUGCUGGCUCCUGGGGACAUGGGAGUGAACAGGCCAGGCGUGGCCCUGAACCAUCAAAUAGACAACCACAGAAAUAACAACGAAUGAUGCUGGAGGCUGACGAAGAUAAGGGUGGAAAGUGGGCAAUAAAUCAGGAGCUGUUGCAACAUUCCCAGCAAAGGAUAAUGGUGAAUAACAAAGACAAAACCGGGCCCUUCCACACAGUAGCUGGAACACAAAGGAAGAUCAGCCAAGCCUCAACAUAAUCUCAUAAAAAUUCUUCAAAUAUCCCAUUGUUAUGGAUUCAUACAUCAGGAAAGCAGAUGCCAAGAACCUGAACACCUUCUACUGGUAACAUAUAUUUUGGCGAGCCAGCCUGGAGACAAGACCACUAUGGGCAACUUCCUGUCUAUUCUACCUGGUGUCACUGUGGACAACUUCCUAUCUAUUCCACCCGAUUCACCGCUUGGCUACAUCCUCCACCAUUGGGAUGAAUUUGACCCUAACAAUCUAAAGAAAAGGCAUAUGAUUUUUUACUGCAAUAUUGUUUGACACAAUUAUGAGCUGCCCAAUCCGGAACAAUGGGCAGUCAAUGGUAGCCUUAAUUAUGAUACCAUCCUGUAUCUAGACCUAUUUUACAAGAGGCAGGGCAAAUGGUCAGAAGUCCCACAUAUACAGGCCUACAUGACCCUAUACGAAGACCUAAGAAUCUAGGAAACUCCCAGAACCCAUCCCCCGAAGGAAAGUUCUGGGGCAGAACUAGAUAUUAUAGAUGAACCCCCUUUUACAAGGGAUACCUGUCUCUCAGAGUGAGCAGUGACUGUCCCCAUAUAACCCCUCACCAAGUGCUCCUGAGGCUGAAACCCAGGGGCAAACAUGGGGAACCCUACUAAGUCCCCCUCACACUUGGAGGGGAACACUGUAUUCAACUCUCUAUCCAGCCCUGCUACUCUCAGAGAAAUAGCAGGGGCUGAGGGGCCAAUCCUAGUGUGGGUCCCCUUCUCUAUGAUUGAUAUACAACAAUGUAAGGAAAAGCUAGGAAGCUAUUCUGAGGAUUCCGGGAAGUUUGCAGAUGGGUUCCAAACUUUGACCUUAGCCUUUGAUCUCUCAUGGAGAGACGUUCAAUUCACUCUAGCAACCUGUUGCACCUCCUCGGAAAAGGAACGAAUCUUUGAGGCUGCCCUCCGAGAAGUGGACGAAUUAUUCACCCAAAACCGUAAAGGCAGUCACCCAGGCCCAGCCACAGUUCCCACUACGCAUCCUAAUUGAGACCAAGACACCCCCGCAGGAAGGAACAACUGGGCUAAAUUUCUUGAGGCUCUUGGAGGAAUGAGAAAGGGAAUAACUAAGGCAGUAAAUUAUGAUAAAGUAAGGCAGAUUACACAAGGCAGGGAGGAAAACCCAGCUGUGUUUUACGGCAGGCUGCGGGAAGCCUUUAAAAAAUAUAUACUAAUUUGGUCCCUUCCUCUCCUGAAGGCAAGUUAUUAAUGGCACAACGUUUCAUUAGCCAAUCCACACCAGACAUUAGACGUAAGCUCCAAAAGCUACACAUGGGGCCACAAACUAACCAAAAUCAGCUUCUUGGUACUGCCUUCAUGGUGUAUAACAAUCGUGACCUGGAGGAAGGAGAAGGGAAACAGAGUAAAGAAAAACGGCAAGCCAAAAUUAUGUUAGCCAUCACUGGUGAUGCCCUAAAUGCACAAAGAUUGUCCAAGGGAAACUCAAAGGGCCAUAAGGAUAAUGCCAGCAAAGGCUCUUGCUUCAAAUGCAAUAAAAGUGCGAUUGGGCACAGGAAUCCACUAAGCCCCCGCCAGUCCCCUGCCGUCAAUGUAAAAGCACCAGUUGUGGCUCCUGGCCCUGGAGAAUUGACUGUCCCUGCUCCCACCAAGGGGCUCAGUCAGUCAAAACUCUGGCAGUGCACAAGGAGGAAUCAGAUGAAGACUGAAGGGGCCUGGGGCCUUCCUCACUGCCCCGUCUAGGAACAUUGUAAUUACUACUGAGGAACCCUGGGUAACUCUGGACAUCAUGGCCACCCAAAUUCAGUUUUUAUGUGAUACCAAGGUGAAUUAUUCUGUACAACUGCUUAUGCAGGAAAACUUUCCUCCCGGUCCAUGAGUGAUAUUGGAUGGAAGGGAAGCCACAAACAAGAUUCUUACUCCUCCUUUGGUUUGUCAAUUUGAGAAACAAAUCUUCCAACAGGAAUUUUUAGUAGUACCAAGCUGCCCAAUUCCCCUGUGGGAAAGAGAUAUUAUGGUGAAAAUAGUGACACUACUGCAAUUUAAGCAAUAUUAGCAGGUGAAACUGCUAAUAGUAAGAAAUAAGGCAAUGUCCCAGACCAUGUCAAUAAACAGGUUAACCCACUGGCAUGGUAUACUGGAAACCCAGGGAAGGCUAAAACAGCAGUGCCAGUCAAAAUACAGCUUAAAGACCCCAGCCAUUUUCCCAAUGGAAAACAAUACCCAGUUGAACAGGAAGCAAGCAAAGGUCUAGCUCCCAUAGUUGAGAUAUUACUUACCCAUGGACUCUUAAAACCCUGCAAUUCUCCCUGCAAUACCCCCAUCUUACCUGUUCUCAAGCCUGGGGGGAAUACCAGCUAGUACAGAACCUCAGAAUAAUGAAUGAGGCUGUUAUCCCCGUCCACCCAUUGGUGGCAGAUCCAUAUGCCCUCCUGGCUCAGGUGCCAGGGCAUGCAAAAUGGUUCUCAGUCCUAGACCUUUCUUCUCCAUUCCUCUGGCCCCGAGCCCCCCAGUACCUUUUUGCUUUCGAAUGGGAAAAUCCUAAUACCAGAUAAAAACAAUACACUUGGACAGUGCUUCCUCAGGGCUUUCGGGAUAGCCCCCACUUCUUUGCCUGAGCAUUAGAGCGGGAUCUGAGGGAUUUCAAGUUAGAAAAUGGAGGUAUUCUUCAGUAUGGGGAUGACCUUGUGUGUAGCCCAACCUAGGAGGUUUCUGACCAAAAUACUAUAAAAACUUUGAAUUUCCUGGCAGACAGAGGAUACAAAGUGUCCAAAAAGAAGGCUCAGAUUACCCUCCAAUGGGUCCACUAUUUAGGAUAUGUCUUAACACCCGGAACCCGGCAAAUAUCCCCAGAAGGAGUGCAAGCUAUAUGUGGUUUGGCCGCGUGCACCACCCCCAGCCCCCACCCUGACCCACCUCCAAGCAGCAGCUUUGUUCCUUUUUGGGGAUGGCCGGGCUUUGGAGAAUAUGAGUACCAAAUUUUGGGCUCAUAGCAAAGCCCCUAUAUGAAGCAACAAGGGGGCCUGAAAAUGAGCUAAUGGAAUGGACCCCGGAAAUGAGGAAAGCCUUUGCCAAGUUAAAACAGGUUCUCACCCAGGCUCCUGCUCUUGGUAUCCCAGACCUAAUUAAGGCCUUCUCCUUGUAUGUAGCAGAGAAGAGGGGCAUAGCUGUGGGAGUGCUAGCCCAGAAAUUAGGAUCAGAACCCAGACCAACCGCCUACUUCUCAAAAAAGUUGGACGGAGUGGCCUCAGGAUGGCCAAGUUGCCUGCGGGCAAUAGCAGCCACUGCUGUUAGUGGAGGAAGCCACUAAAAUCACCCUAGGGCAACCACUGGAAGUUCUAACGCUCCAUCAGGUAAAGUUAGUCUUAGAAAUAAAGGGACACAUCUGGAUGACAGGGGAAAUGUUAACUAAAUACCAGCCCAUGCUCCUAGACAAUCCAGAUAUAACUCUUAAAACCUGCAACACUUUAAAUCCAGCUUCAUUGCUGCCCACAGGCCCAAUAAUUGAUCAUUCCUGUGAGCAGGUCAUUGCACAUACAUAUGUUAGCCAGCCUGAUUUAAAAGAUGAGGCUCUCCCAGAUUCUGAAGCUGACCGGCUCACAGACGGCAGUAGUUCUUUGUCGAAUGGGGAGCACAGAGCUGGAUAUGCAGCAGUAAAUCAUGACACAAUUAUUGAAGCCCAGCCAGUGCCCCCUGGCACAUCAGCACAAAAGGCUAAAAUCAUUGAUCUUACUCAAGCAUUAAUGUUGGGACAAGGGAAAAAACUUAACAUCUAUACAGAUUCUAAAUAUGCAUUCCUUGUGGUUCAUGCUCAUACCGCCAUCAGGAAAGAAAGGGGAUUACUUACUAGCAAGCACUCCCCUAUAGAGCAUGGACCUGAAAUUCUGCAGCUAUUGAAGGCAAUACACCUGCCAAAGGCCAUAGCUAUCAUUCAUUGUAGGGGGCAUCAAAGGGACUUAACCCCUAUAGCACAAGGGAAUGGAAAGGCUGACGGAAGCCAAAGCAAAAGCCCUCAGCGUGCAAUCCCAACAGAUCCUAGCACUGCUUCCUUUCUACAAUUCCCCAGUAGAACCCAAAUACACACCACAGGAAGAACAGCUAAUAAAAAAAGCAAGGGAGACAAAAACAAGGAUCCUGGUGGCAUAUGGAGCCAAAAAUAUAUCUCCCUCAGGCAGCCCAGUGGAGAGUUAUAAAAGCCCUGCAUGACUCUUUCCAUGUGGGGAGGGAUGCGGCUCUGGCCAUGGUAAACAAGUUCUUUACUGGGUUUAACUCAGCUUCAAUGGCUAAGCAGGUCUGUCAAGCCUGCUCACUGUGUGCAUUUAACAAUCCAGGCAUCAAAAUGCCCCCUCUAAUAAAACCAGUCCAAAGGAGGGGAACUUAUCCAGGGGAAGACUGGCAGUUAGACGUCAUCCAUAUGCCAGCUUGCAGAGGAUACAAGCUUUUGUUAAUACUAAUAGAUACUUUUAGGUUGGGUCAAAGGUUACCCCAGAAAAGGCUAAUGAGGUUCUAAGGUCCUCUUAAAAGAAAUAAUUCCCCAGUUUGGGUUACCUCAGGGUCUCCAAAGUGAUAAUGGCUAAUCCUUUAUCUCCCAAAUAACUCAAGGGGUUGCUAAGGCUCUUGGAAUAAAAUACUAUUUACAUUCAGCCUGGAGGCCCCAAUCCUCUGGAAAAGUGGAAAGGGUUAACCAAACUCUAAAAUAAGCACUAGCUAAACUAUGUCAGGAAACAUCAGAAACUUGGGUUAGCUUAUUGCUCACAGCCCUUUUAAGAAUUUGUAAUACCCCUAGCUCAAAAAUUAACAGAAGCCCAUAUAAAAUGUUAUACAGAAGGCCAUUCUUAACUAAUGAUUUAAUUAUUGACCCAGAAAGAGUUGGUGUAAUUAAAUACCUAGUCAACCCAGAACAAUUCCAGCGGGUUUACAAGAGUUUGGAAUUCAAAGGCUCCUCACACUUGGAACUAACCAGCAACCCAAAAUCAGGCCAGGAGAUAGGGUACUUGUUAAAACAUGGAAUGAGGGAUCACCUGCCCAACAAUUACAACCCCAAUAGAAGGGACUUUUUUCAGUAAUACUGGCCACGUCUUCUGUGGUCAAAGUACUAGUAUUAGAUAGCUGGAUACAUCUUUCAAGGAUCAAACCAUCAAUACCAGAAGCUCCAGACCAGGAACCUGAAGUUCCCAUCAGCCAGUACACCUGUGAACCAGUGGAGGACCUGAAGUACCUGUUUAAAAGAUAGCCAAAAGAUAAGUAAAUGCCUACCAACUUUCUUUGGUGUCUUUGUUGCAUAGUUACUGUGGGCUGGAAAAUAGUAGCCAUUUUUAUCUUUGCAGUUUAAUUGCCUUCUUCCAAAUAGAUAAAAAUCACUUCCUUUGUAAUAAUUAAACAGAAUUUAAAAAAUACAUUUCUAUGACAAAUAUUCCUGAUGGCAUAAGUAUCCACCCCAAGGUUCCCAUUAAAUCUUUUAACCUAAAGUAUUUCCUCUCACCUAGAGAUCAUCGAGCUGUGUGACAAGGGUGCCAGCCACUCCAGGUGAAGACACCACCCCAGGCCAUCAAGGAUCUUCCCUACCUUCACUAAACAGAGCAGGGUGAAAGUUGUGUGAUCCCCAAUAGGUAGGGACUACACCCCAAGUCAGCAGGAAGCAGUUACAGAAGAAAGACCAUUGGUCCCUCUGCUUCCCAUAAAGAUUUAUGGGGAUCACAGCUUUCACGGGGGAGAUGAGGCAAGAGAAUAGGGCAUGCAGGCAGGGUACUUGAGGCCAAUCCACGCUGACUUCCUAGAACUGAAUUAAAUGAAAGCUCCUCAGCAAUGACAGGAAUGUGAAUGGCUUUGUAACUUCUUCCUCUCCAUUAAUGCUAUUUCCACUUUGUAACUUCACUUUCAUCCUCUCCAUUUACAUAGAUCACACACCAAGUAACAUCCUCUCCAUUUACAGUAGGGCGCAUUCCGAGUCAAUGACUCUGACUGCACUUCGUUCUCCUCAUUUACAUAGAACAUUCGCCAAGUAACCAAUGGGAAACCUCUAGAGUAUUGAAACUCCAGAAAAUUCCGUAAGUGGGGCUCUUGAGCGUCUACACUCGGGUCGCUCCCACACUGUGGCGUGUACUUUUAUUCUCAAUAAAUUCCCGCUUUUGCUUUCCUCGUUC